This 69-nucleotide transfer RNA is filed under the name Ontholestes tessellatus. RNAcentral's name for it is "tRNA-Gln". The record is from RNAcentral. Lineage: Eukaryota; Metazoa; Arthropoda; Insecta; Coleoptera; Staphylinidae.
UACAUUUUAGUAUAUGAUGUACAAGAAUUUUUGAAAUUCUAGGGAAUAGUUUAAUUCUAUUAUGUGUAA